RNAcentral lists this long non-coding RNA (1003 nucleotides) under Homo sapiens (human). RNAcentral describes it as "long non-coding RNA NONHSAT163944.1". The record is from RNAcentral. Lineage: Eukaryota; Metazoa; Chordata; Mammalia; Primates; Hominidae.
CAAUUAUCAUUUUAGAGACAGUUUAACAACUGCCUAACCAUCACCUGAUGGUCACCUGACAUUGUUGGGCUGGGAGUUCGCGGGGCUCUCCUGCUCUGCUCACCAUUGCCUAACUAUCUACUGUAACAAUACCACCUAGCAAAGCUGUGGCCGUGUCUUGCAGGAAGAAGCACAUGUUCUUCCUCCAGAGUCCAGUAUGAUGUCUAAAGCAGAUCUGUUCUGAACCCACCACUUGUCCAAUUUCAUCAUCUUCUUGGAUGAGGAGUUCUGUGGCUUAGAGGAGAAAAAGAAACCUUUUUCUCUACUCUCAGGUACUGUGAGUGGGACUUGUGAAUUAAUCUGUCAAAAGACAGAUUAAAUGAGGAAAAAGGCAUACAAAUUUUAUUUGAUGUUAAUAUUUUAAUUUUUAUGUAGACAGAGGCAUUUUUACAAGUGAAGACCCCAAACAAGCAGUUAGCCCUGGAGGAUUAUAUACCAUUUUAACAACGGGCACUAAAUCCUGCGUGAGAGAAGUAACAAGACAAAGGAAAGUUGGGGUUUAGGCUCCUAGGGGCAGCAAACUGUGGGAAGGUGACUAGAACUUGUAUGGUAAAUAAGGGUUGUUUAGUAAGGUUUGUUAUGAAGAGAGUCAUCCUUCUCUUCCUAAUACGGGGAACACCUUUACAAAUAGAAAUUUAUGUCAGUUUUACAAAGGGAAAUAUAAGUCCUGCUUUUAAGCAAAAAAGGGGAGAGCAGAGAAUUCUUCCUGUGCCUGCUAUUUCUCAGUUUCCUUCAGCUCAAAAUAAUUCUUAUGCCAAAGUGACAUAUUUUGGGGUGACAAUUCUGGUACCCUGCAGUGGCCUUCAUGGCAUUGUCUAAAUUGCUUGCUAUUCUCUUAACCAUACCAGGUAGGAUUCCCCCAACUUUUCACACCUCUUAUAAGCAUGAAUAAAGAGACAUAAGGCAAGGGAAAAAAAUCAAAAUCCAGAAUUCCCUUGAAGUGAAGAUCUACUGGUCUCUUUUU